AACUCGGGAGCGCAAUUGGAGUUUAUGACUCGACUCCAUCUCUCUCCAUAUCGGAGAAGCGAUAACAAAUACAUUAUGGAUCUCAGUCAAUCAGUCUAGUUCCUCAUCCUUAUUUUUAGCUUUAUUCCUCUUUGUUGUUGUUGUUGUUGUUAUUAUUAAUAUUUUAUUUUAUUUUUAUGACAACAAUAAGGUUGCAUAUUUUAGGAUUUAUCUUUUAAAAUUUUCAAAAAAAGUGAGUGAACCUUUCUAAAAAACUUUUUCAAUAAUUAACAUGUUUUGUUUUAAUAAGACGAUUAUAUUUUUAAUACCUUAUUUAUAUCUUUCUUAACGAAGCUUUUACUUUUUUUUAUCUAAUCUAAGUUUGGCCGGUUAACUGUAGUUAGCGGAUCCUUUAGGAUGCCUAAUCCCUUCCCUUUAGGAUAAUUAGAAUCCUUACUUAGAAUUUUAGGUUUUUGCAGACCUUAAAAUGAAGUCUUUAAUUGCUUUAAUCACAUAGUUUAUAACAGGUGUCCUAAUUCACCGUAGAACUAAUUAGGUGGCGACUUCCUUAUUUAACUCAGAAGUUUUCCAAUAUGUUGUACACUAUUUUGACCUCGUGUUAAAAUGGGGUAUAACAAUAUGUUUUUGCACCUAAGCAAUAGCAAUCAAUCUCUAUUCCAAAUUAACACAAUUUUUUCAGGCUAAUUUCUAAAUACCUUUAAAAGUUGUUUUUUUUUUUUUUUAAAUAACAAAAUCAAAAAUAAAUUCAAAUCUAAAAGCCAGAUUUAGUAAUUAAUUAUCACUUCAUAAAAUCCAUUUGAAUUAGUCAUGCUAGAUCUUAGUGUUCAUUAUGAUACAAAUAUACCACAUCAACUCCUUAAGUACCGGCGAUGAAAUUUCAUUGAUACAGAGCCAAUUUCAAUAGAAGUAUUGAGAAAAUCAUAAUGUACUUUGAUGAUCGAUACAAAAAAGUUAUAUACUGAUAGUAUAAAGAAUUUUUACAUUAUCAGUGUAACUCGAUGACCUGUGUAUAAGAAAUCUACAAACAUUCAUACUGACAAAACACUACAUAAAGACCAGAUAAAACACUCAAGAAAUGGAAGUGUUUAGUAUCUUUCUCUAUCACUGUUUGAUUUAUCACUUGCAAUACGAUCAACAUGACUUCUAAUAGUUUGCAAUGCAGGUGGUGAUUUGCUAGUGUCUUCUGCAUUUUCCUCCUUAUGAUCAUCGUCGUGUUUCUUGAUAUUCAAUAUAAACUCUAACGCGUUCACUACUUCGCUGAUUAGAGGUCGCAUUCUGGAGUCCUCUUGCAGGCACAUUGCUGCAACUGUUAGAGCUUUAUGCAAUGCCUUCAUCGGGUAAUUCCCUUGUAGCAAUGGAUCUGCUAUUAAGUGUGACUUCCUCUUGUCAAGGAUCAGCGGCCGUGCCUGGCCAUCGAGUUGUGAAAUAAAGUUAGGUAGGCUGCUGUUUGAAACAGACUAGGAAGGAAAACGUGUCAUAUAAAAUGAAACCGAUGAGUUCUUGAAACUUACCCACUUGACAAGGUUCUUUUCUUCGCUAGGUCUGGAGCUGUCGAUGACUCUUCUUCCGGUGACUAUUUCUAAAAGGACUACCCCGAAGCUAUAAACAUCGGACUUAACAGUCAGUUUACCUGUGCAAGCAUAGUCAGGUGCACAAUAACCAUAGGUUCCCAUAACCCGGGUGGAUAC
This 1688-nucleotide long non-coding RNA is filed under the name Capsicum annuum. RNAcentral describes it as "long non-coding RNA (CANN_LNC022239)". The record is from RNAcentral. Lineage: Eukaryota; Viridiplantae; Streptophyta; Magnoliopsida; Solanales; Solanaceae.